Sapajus apella (tufted capuchin) is the source of this 448-nucleotide long non-coding RNA. RefSeq lists it as uncharacterized. NCBI's taxonomy places the organism in Eukaryota, Metazoa, Chordata, Mammalia, Primates, Cebidae. The transcript has 3 exons. The record is from RefSeq and is a predicted model, not a curated record.
AUAAAAGUUCAGAAAAUUUGCAGCCUGACAAUGCAAGAGAAAAAUAAAAUCCCAUUAUCUGAGAAGAAAGUCAAGCCAGCUGUAGAAAUUUACGUAAGUAACGAGCAGCCAAAUGUUAAUCCCCAAGACAAUCGAGAAAACCUCUCCAAGGAAUGCCAAAGACCUUGGUGGCAGCACCUCCCAUCAUGGGUCUGGAGGCUUAGGAGGAAAAAAUGAUUUUGUGAGCUGGGCCCAGUGUCCGUCUGCUGUAUGCAGUCUAAAGACUUGGUGCCCUGAAUCCCAGCCACUCCAGCCAUGAUUAAAAGAGGCCAAGGGACACCUCAGGCUGUUGCUUCGGAGGGCAGAGCCACCAAGCCUUGGCAGCUUCCAUGUGGUGUUGAGCCUACAAGUGCACAGAAGUCAAAAAUUGAGGUUUGGGAAAUUCUGCCCAGAUUUCAGAGGAUGUAUG